CCUACGGGAGGCAGCAGUGGGGAAUAUUGCACAAUGGGGGGAACCUUGAUGCAGCAACGCCGCGUGGGUGAAGAAGUACUCCGGUAUGUAAAGCCCUGUCAGCAGGGAAGAAAAUGACGGUACCUGACCAAGAAGCCCCGGCUAACUACGGGCCAGCAGCCGCGGUCAUACGUAGGGCGCACGCGUUAUCCGGAUGUACGGGGUGUAAAGGGAGCGUAGACGGCAAGGCAAGUCUGGAGUGAAAGCCCCGGGCCCAACCACGGGACUGCUUUGGAAACUGUGUAGCUGGAGUGCAGGAGGGGUAAGCGGAAUUCCUGGUGUAGCGGUGAAAUGCGUAGAUAUUAGGAGGAACACCGGUGGCGAAGGCGGCUUACUGGACUGUAACUGACGUUGAGGCUCGAAGGCGUGGGGAGCAAACAGGAUUAGAUACCCUUGUAGUC
Molecule: ribosomal RNA, 440 nt
Filed under: uncultured bacterium
Lineage: Bacteria
Description: partial 16S ribosomal RNA
Rfam family: Bacterial small subunit ribosomal RNA
Source: RNAcentral